Molecule: ribosomal RNA, 409 nt
Filed under: uncultured bacterium
Lineage: Bacteria
Description: bacterial SSU rRNA
Rfam family: Bacterial small subunit ribosomal RNA
Source: RNAcentral
CCAUGCCGCGUGUAUGAAGAAGGCCUUCGGGUUGUAAAGUACUUUCAGCAGUGAGGAAGGUGGGUAUGGUUAAUAGCAUAUUCAUUUGACGUUAGCUGCAGAAGAAGCACCGGCUAACUCCGUGCCAGCAGCCGCGGUAAUACGGAGGGUGCGAGCGUUAAUCGGAAUUACUGGGCGUAAAGCGCAUGCAGGUGGUUUGUUAAGUCAGAUGUGAAAGCCCGGGGCUCAACCUCGGAAUUGCAUUUGAAACUGGCAAACUAGAGUACUGUAGAGGGGGUAGAAUUUCAGGUGUAGCGGUGAAAUGCGUAGAGAUCUGAAGGAAUACCGGUGGCGAAGGCGGCCCCCUGGACAGAUACUGACACUCAGAUGCGAAAGCGUGGGGAGCAAACAGGAUUAGAUACCCUGAUAG